UAGAGAGUAAUCUUACAUACAGCACAGAAUACAGUCUGACUAUUUGGACAGUUGGAUGUGGGGGAUGGGGCAUGAUCACCACGACUUGCAAAACAGGAGUCACAGUGGUCAUCACCACGGCUGUUGGGGCCACCUGUGGGAUCUUGACCGUCUGUCUAUGCAUUGCUAUAGCUGUCUUCAUCUUCUUGAAGAGGAAAGCUUCUAGAAGGCCUGCUUCU
Clupea harengus (Atlantic herring) is the source of this 218-nucleotide long non-coding RNA. RefSeq lists it as uncharacterized. The transcript has 3 exons. NCBI's taxonomy places the organism in Eukaryota, Metazoa, Chordata, Actinopteri, Clupeiformes, Clupeidae. The record is from RefSeq and is a predicted model, not a curated record.